This 483-nucleotide ribosomal RNA is filed under the name uncultured bacterium. RNAcentral's name for it is "partial 16S ribosomal RNA". It matches the Rfam family "Bacterial small subunit ribosomal RNA", at positions 28 to 507 of the family's 1533-position model. The record is from RNAcentral.
GACGAACGCUGGCGGCGUGCUUAACACAUGCAAGUCGAACGCUGAAGCUCAGCUUUUGUUGGGUGGAUGAGUGGCGAACGGGUGAGUAACACGUGAGUAACCUGCCUCCUUCUUUGGGAUAACGCCCGGAAACGGGUGCUAAUACUGGAUAUUCACUGGUCUUCGCAUGGGGGUUGGUGGAAAGGGUUUUUCUGGUGGGGGAUGGGCUCGCGGCCUAUCAGCUUGUUGGUGGGGUGAUGGCCUACCAAGGCUUUGACGGGUAGCCGGCCUGAGAGGGUGACCGGUCACAUUGGGACUGAGAUACGGCCCAGACUCCUACGGGAGGCAGCAGUGGGGAAUAUUGCGCAAUGGGCGCAAGCCUGAUGCAGCGACGCCGCGUGAGGGAUGGAGGCCUUCGGGUUGUGAACCUCUUUCGCUCAUGGUCAAGCCGCAACAAUGGUUGUGGUGAGGGUAGUGGGUAAAGAAGCGCCGGCUAACUACGUG